AAGAACGGCGCUUCAGGAAAUGGGUGGCGUUUGACGGUAGCGGGAGAGGAAGCCCCGGCAACUACGUGCCAGCAGCCGCGGUAAUACGUAGGGGGCGAGCGUUGUCCGGAUUUAUUGGGCGUAAAGGGCGUGUAGGCGGUCUGGUAAGUCGGGGGUGAAAACCCGGGGCUCAACCCCGGGAGUGCCUCUGAUACUGCUGGACUUGAGUGCUCUAGAGGGCAGUGGAAUUGCCGGUGUAGCAGUGAAAUGCGUAGAGAUCGGCAGGAACACCAGUGGCGAAGGCGACUGCCUGGGGAGUAACUGACGCUGAGGCGCGAAAGCUAGGGGAGCGAACAGGAUUAGAUACCCUGGUAGUCCUAGCCGUAAACGAUGAGUGCUAUGUGUGAGGGGUAUCGACCCCCCUCGUGCAGCAGUUAACGCAAUAAGCACUCCGCCUGGGGAGUACGGCCGCAAGGUUGAAACUCAAAGGAAUUGACGG
Molecule: ribosomal RNA, 478 nt
Filed under: uncultured bacterium
Lineage: Bacteria
Description: bacterial SSU rRNA
Rfam family: Bacterial small subunit ribosomal RNA
Source: RNAcentral